CCUACGGGGUGCAGCAGUGAGGAAUAUUGGUCAAUGGACGGGAGUCUGACCCAGCCAAGUAGCGUGAAGGAUGACUGCCCUAUGGGUUGUAAACUUCUUUUAUAAAGGAAUAAAACGAGGCACGUGUGCCUUUUUGCAUGUCCUUUAUGAAUAAGGAUCGGCUAACUCCGUGCCAGCAGCCGCGGUAAUACGGAGGAUCCGGGCGUUAUCCGGAUUUAUUGGGUUUAAAGGGAGCGUAAAUGGGUUGUUAAGUCAGUUGUUAAAGUUUGCGGCUCAACCGUAAAAUUGCAAUUGAUACUGGCAGUCUUGAGUACAGUUGAGGUAGGCGGAAUUCGUGGUGUAGCGGUGAAAUGCUUAGAUAUCACGAAGAACCCCGAUUGCGAAGGCAGCUUACUAAACUGUGACUGACAUUGAUGCUCGAAAGUGUGGGUAUCAAACAGGAUUAGAUACCCGGGUAGUC
Molecule: ribosomal RNA, 460 nt
Filed under: uncultured bacterium
Lineage: Bacteria
Description: partial 16S ribosomal RNA
Rfam family: Bacterial small subunit ribosomal RNA
Source: RNAcentral